GACGAACGCUGGCGGCGUGCUUAACACAUGCAAGUCGUGCGGUAAGGCCCUUUCGGGGGUACACGAGCGGCGAACGGGUGAGUAACACGUGAGCAACCUGCCCUUCACUUUGGGAUAACUGCCGGAAACGGUGGCUAAUACCGGAUAUGACUUCCUCACGCAUGUGGGGUGGUGGAAAGCCUUCGGGUGGUGGGGGAUGGGCUCGCGGUCUAUCAGCUUGUUGGUGGGGUGAUGGCCUACCAAGGCUUCGACGGGUAGCCGGCCUGGGAGGGUGACCGGCCACACUGGGACUGAGACACGGCCCAGUCUCCUACGGGAGGCAGCAGUGGGGAAUAUUGUACAAUGGGCGCAAGCCUGAUCCAGCAACGCCGCGUGAGGGAUGACGGCCUUCGGGUUGUAAACCUCUUUCGCCUGCGACGAAGCGAGAGUGACGGUAGCAGGUAAAGAAGCACCGGCCAACUACGUG
This 466-nucleotide ribosomal RNA is filed under the name uncultured bacterium. RNAcentral describes it as "partial 16S ribosomal RNA". It matches the Rfam family "Bacterial small subunit ribosomal RNA", at positions 28 to 507 of the family's 1533-position model. The record is from RNAcentral.